Long non-coding RNA from Cucumis sativus (cucumber), 642 nucleotides. RefSeq lists it as uncharacterized. Lineage: Eukaryota; Viridiplantae; Streptophyta; Magnoliopsida; Cucurbitales; Cucurbitaceae. The transcript has 2 exons. The record is from RefSeq and is a predicted model, not a curated record.
CCUCUUUCUUCAUGAUUUUUCUUCUUCAUUUAUCAAAAUCCCACACUACCUCUUCACUAAACAGCUGUCACUGCCACCACCAGUGUCCAUCGUACCCAGCCCUCACCCUCGCCUUGGUCUCUUUCACGGUCUGCUCGUCACCACUAAGUCGAAACCCUCGUCUCUUUCAUGUUCGACUCUUCACCAACAUCAAAACCCUCAACUCUUUCACAUUGUGUUCGCCACCAUCGUCGAAAACCUUCAUUCAUGUUGGUGACCAGCUUUCACCACCACUGUACACAGCUCGUUCGUACCUAUCUCUCACCACCAUCGUUGGAAAUAUUUUCCUCUUCGGUGAAGUGUGUUAGUGAGAUACCCAGAUUCAAUCUUUCAAUUGCAAGGAAGAAAUCGCUUGAGAGAUUCUUAGAGAAGCCUAAGGAGAGAUAAUGAUCAUACUCCUUGAAAAUUAAAUUCAUACUUUUAUUUAUUUGUUUAUCCUUUUCUUGUAUUUAUCUUUGAAAUUUCAAACAAUUUUUUUUGGGUCUGUGUAUCCAAAAAAAAAAAAUGGAUGGAUGCUUUUGAUUUGUAAUUAUUGAAUUGAUUUGUGCUUAUGUACAAAAUCUUGGAACAUAUAUAUAUAUAUUUAGAUAUUUCAAUUGAUUA